Molecule: ribosomal RNA, 253 nt
Filed under: uncultured bacterium
Lineage: Bacteria
Description: partial 16S ribosomal RNA
Rfam family: Bacterial small subunit ribosomal RNA
Source: RNAcentral
UACGGAGGGGGCGAACGUUAUUCGGAUUUACUGGGCGUAAAGCGACUGUAGGCGGUCUUGCAAGCCAGAUGUGAAAUCCCCGGGCUUAACCUGGGAAUUGCAUUUGGAACUGCAUCACUAGAGUUAUGGAGAGGUAAGUGGAAUUUCCAGUGUAGAGGUGAAAUUCGUAGAUAUUGGAAGGAACACCAGAGGCGAAGGCGACUUACUGGCCAUAUACUGACGCUGAGAGUCGAAAGCGUGGGGAGCAAACAGG